This 2566-nucleotide long non-coding RNA is filed under the name Nicotiana tabacum (common tobacco). Its description in RNAcentral is "long non-coding RNA (NTAB_LNC017515)". The record is from RNAcentral. Lineage: Eukaryota; Viridiplantae; Streptophyta; Magnoliopsida; Solanales; Solanaceae.
UCAUAAAACUGAGUUAUGCGGUAAACAAGUAUAAACAUGACCGAGUAUAGAUUUUCAAUCGAAAAUAAUGAGAGGAUGGUAAGAAAUAGCCCCUAAGGGUCCAAACAACAUUGGCGCAAGGCCCAAACAUGGCAUUCAACCCAAUUUACAGAAAUUCUUUCUAAAACAUAUAAGUAUUAAAUGGUUUCAACAAAGUAUGCAACUUUACAGUUGCUACGGGAUGGACCAAGUCACAAAUCCCUAACAGUGCACGCUCACACGCCUGUCACCUAGCAUGUGCGUCACUUCAAAAUAGUAGAAUGAUACGAAAUCCGGGGUUUCAUACCCUCAGGACCAGAUUUACAAUCGUUACUUACCUCAAAUCGGUCAAAUAUCUAACCCGCAAUGAUCUUGCCUUUGGACUUGGCCUCCAAUUGCUCCGAAUCUAUUCACAAUCAGUACAAUACCAUCAAUACGCGCUAAUGGAAUGAAUUCCACAAGAAAAACUACUAAAUUAGACUAAAACCCGAAAUUGACUCAAACCCGGCCCCCGGGCACAUGUCUCGAAAUCUGACCAAAUUUACAAAACUAGAAAUCUCAUUCACUCAUGAGUCUAACCAUACCAAAUUCAUCAAAAUCCGACAUUGUUUGGUCCUUCAAAUCCUUAAAUUACUUUCCAAAAAUUCCAAGCCCUAACCCCUCAUUUUCACUAAUUACCAUGAUUAAAACAACGAAAAAUCACAAGUAUACAAGUAUAGAGCUCAAGUAACUUACCUCAACGAAAUCCCCUUGAUUCCCUCUCAAAUCUCUCCCAAAAGCUCCAAAAAUCGAGUUGAAAUUGUGAAUGUCACACCUCCUUUUUAUCCCCCACAAAGAUAAAUAUGUAUUAUGGAUGGUGGAUUAAAGAGUUUUUCCAAUUAAAGUAAUAAACUUGAUUAGGGAUUAUUUUAUUGUUCAGAGUUGCCACUUGGAUUGAUUUUCAGGUAUUCCAAGUCACCUUUUAUUUGAAUCCCUAGUCAAAGGAAUGUUUGACUCUUUUAUUAUUGGUCUGCAAAAAUAAAGUUCAGGUAAAGAAUUAUGUUGAAUGGGGAGAAGGUGUAAGGGAUUCCCCGAAUCCUGUGGUUCUAGCACGGUCGCUUUAUUGACUACAACUUGGCUUGAAUUAAUUUUGGAUAACCUGUGUUUUAUUGGUUUUCAUGUUUUAACUAUGUCCGCUUUUAUUGUUUGAUUGGAUUUAUAAGAAUUAUCUUGAAAUAAGUCGCGCGUACGUAUACUUAUUUUGUUUGGUGUGUCAAAAACAUGGCACGCGUACGUGUACGCAAUUAAUAACACUUUAUUAUUAUCAAGAAUGUUUGGUCAAAGUCGCGCGAACGCGUACUUUGAUUUAUGUGAAAAAUCAAAAUUAUGUCACGCAAACGUAUACAUAAUCACGAUAAUUUGAUUAAUUAAGAGCGUGCCUAAAAGCAUACUGUCGAUGUUAAUUCUUACUAUAUUAGGGGUUCCUUGUUAGGCCAAAAGAUUAUGAAUAUAGUGUGCGAGAUAAAGAUGUGAACUUCAGUUUCCAUGAAUUUCCAGCAAAAGCAAUCAUAUUCACCAAAAAGGGAACUUAACAAAUUAUUAACAUUAUGUUAGAAGUUUAGCAAACCAAACCAACUCUUAGCUCAUAUACUAUCAAAACCAAGCAAAUAUCCUUAAAGCAAAAUAUGAUUUUAAUCUUAUGUCCGGUAACCCAAAUUACCCAACUUCAAAUUAAACCACACGGCAAACUUUUCAUUUUCCAAGACUAUACGGUGACUCACCAAAUUCAAUUACAACGAAACCUCGUUCAACUAAUCUAUUUAACAAAUAAUAGAAAUACAAAAAUGGAACCUAAAACCAUAACUAUUACCACUAAGUUGCAGUUGUAAGCUAAUAAAGAGAAACUGAAAAUCAGUAUAAUGUUAUAAUAAUUUUUUUUCGCCAAGAAUGAAUCGUCUUCAUAAACACAUAAACAAUGCACAAAUAAUGUAAGCUCAACAACAUUAAGCAUCAAGCCAUGGAUGAAAUAAAUAUCGAAAGUAAAGAUGGCCCUUUAUUGAUAAAAUUCUAACCUUUUGCUACGUACAGAAAAAGCCAACAAUUUCGACUUCGGAAAUGAAAAUCGACGGCGACGUUCGCUGACUGGAAAACCUCUAACGGGAUACCUUGACUUGCGCCUGAACAAAGACUCGGACCACGACCUUCGACGACCUCGAAGCUCGCCGGAACACUUGAACUGAACUAGUGACCAAUGAACAGAGCAUAAAGCUGCUGCUGCGUUUUUGCCUUUUUCCUCAGAUUCCCUUCUUCUUUUCUGCCGGAGUUCGACUUUGAAAUAGACAGAUCGCCUAGGAUUUAGCUAAGGAAAUAGAAGGAAUCAUGGAGAUUUUGUGCUAGUGGGGUGUGCGGCCGAGAGUUUUCGAGAGGUGGGGUGGCCGUUUUUCAUUUAUGUGUCUUGGAGAUUAGGGUGAUGCUCCUGUUGUUCUAAGGUUGGAGCUGAGAGAUUGGGCUGCUAGGAUAUAUAUCGAAAAGGUGGGUAACGACGGGGGUUGAAGGAGAGGGUGGCCAG